AACCAACCGGGAUUGCCUCAGUAACGGCGAGUGAAGCGGCAAAAGCUCAAAUUUGAAAUCUGGUACCUUCGGUGCCCGAGUUGUAAUUUGUAGAAGGUAACUUUGGGGCUGGUCCUUGUCUAUGUUCCUUGGAACAGGACGUCAUAGAGGGUGAGAAUCCCGUGUGGCGAGGAUCCCAGUUCUAUGUAAAGUGCUUUCGAAGAGUCGAGUUGUUUGGGAAUGCAGCUCUAAGUGGGUGGUAAAUUCCAUCUAAAGCUAAAUAUUGGCGAGAGACCGAUAGCGAACAAGUACAGUGAUGGAAAGAUGAAAAGAACUUUGAAAAGAGAGUGAAAAAGUACGUGAAAUUGUUGAAAGGGAAGGGCAUUUGAUCAGACAUGGUGUUUUGCGCCCUCUGCUCCUCGUGGGUGGGGGAAUCUCGCAGCUCACUGGGCCAGCAUCAGUUUUGGCGGUAGGAUAAAUCUGCAGGAAUGUAGCUUGCUUCGGCAAGUGUUAUAGCCUGUUGAAAUACUGCCAGCCGGGACUGAGGACUGCGACUU
This 536-nucleotide ribosomal RNA is filed under the name Torulaspora globosa. RNAcentral's name for it is "eukaryotic LSU rRNA". It matches the Rfam family "Eukaryotic large subunit ribosomal RNA", at positions 63 to 602 of the family's 3401-position model. The record is from RNAcentral. Lineage: Eukaryota; Fungi; Ascomycota; Saccharomycetes; Saccharomycetales; Saccharomycetaceae.